UGGUGGGUUGCCUUGUCAGGUUGAUUCCGGUAACGAACGAGACCUCAGCCUGCUAAAUAGCCACGUCUGGUGCUUCCAGGCGGCCGGCUUCUUAGAGGGACUGUCGGCGACUAGCCGAUGGAAGUGUGAGGCAAUAACA
RNAcentral lists this ribosomal RNA (139 nucleotides) under uncultured eukaryote. RNAcentral describes it as "partial 18S ribosomal RNA". It matches the Rfam family "Eukaryotic small subunit ribosomal RNA", at positions 1299 to 1458 of the family's 1831-position model. The record is from RNAcentral.